RNAcentral lists this ribosomal RNA (253 nucleotides) under uncultured bacterium. RNAcentral describes it as "partial 16S ribosomal RNA". It matches the Rfam family "Bacterial small subunit ribosomal RNA", at positions 524 to 776 of the family's 1533-position model. The record is from RNAcentral.
UACGAAGGGGGCUAGCGUUGCUCGGAAUGACUGGGCGUAAAGGGCGCGUAGGCGGAUGGCACAGUCAGAUGUGAAAUUCCCGGGCUUAACCUGGGGGCUGCAUUUGAUACGUGUUGUCUAGAGUGAGGAAGAGGGUUGUGGAAUUCCCAGUGUAGAGGUGAAAUUCGUAGAUAUUGGGAAGAACACCGGUGGCGAAGGCGGCAACCUGGUCCUUGACUGACGCUGAGGCGCGAAAGCCAGGGGAGCAAACGGG